Molecule: ribosomal RNA, 496 nt
Filed under: uncultured bacterium
Lineage: Bacteria
Description: partial 16S ribosomal RNA
Rfam family: Bacterial small subunit ribosomal RNA
Source: RNAcentral
GAUGAACGCUGGCGGCGUGCCUAAUACAUGCAAGUCGAGCGAACGGACGAGAAGCUUGCUUCUCUGAUGUUAGCGGCGGACGGGUGAGUAACACGUGGAUAACCUACCUAUAAGACUGGGAUAACUUCGGGAAACCGUAGCUAAUACCGGAUAAUAUUUUGAACCGCAUGGUUCAAAAGUGAAAGACGGUCUUGCUGUCACUUAUAGAUGGAUCCGCGCUGCAUUAGCUAGCUGGUAAGGUAACGGCUUACCAAGGCAACGAUGCAUAGCCGACCUGAGAGGGUGACCGGCCAAACUGAACUGAGACACGGUCCAGACUCCUACGGGAGGCAGCAGUAGGGAAUCUUCCGCAAUGGGCGAAAGCCUGACGGAGCAACGCCGCGUGAGUGAUGAAGGUCUUCGGAUCGUAAAACUCUGUUAUUAGGGAAGAACAUAUGUGUAAGUAACUGUGCACAUCUUGACGGUACCUAAUCAGAAAGCCACGGCUAACUACGUG